This 794-nucleotide ribosomal RNA is filed under the name uncultured Thermococcus sp. Its description in RNAcentral is "bacterial SSU rRNA". It matches the Rfam family "Archaeal small subunit ribosomal RNA", at positions 85 to 876 of the family's 1478-position model. The record is from RNAcentral. Lineage: Archaea; Methanobacteriati; Methanobacteriota; Thermococci; Thermococcales; Thermococcaceae.
ACGGCUCAGUAACACGUCGGUAACCUACCCUCGGGAGGGGGAUAACCCCGGGAAACUGGGGCUAAUUCCCCAUAGGCCUGAGGUACUGGAAGGUCCUCAGGCCGAAAGGGACUUAUGUCCGCCCGAGGAUGGGCCGGCGGCCGAUUAGGUAGUUGGUGGGGUAAUGGCCCACCAAGCCGAAGAUCGGUACGGGCUGUGAGAGCAGGAGCCCGGAGAUGGACACUGAGACACGGGUCCAGGCCCUACGGGGCGCAGCAGGCGCGAAACCUCCGCAAUGCGGGAAACCGCGACGGGGGGACCCCGAGUGCCGUGGCAACGCCACGGCUUUUCCGGAGUGUAAAAAGCUCCGGGAAUAAGGGCUGGGCAAGGCCGGUGGCAGCCGCCGCGGUAAUACCGGCGGCCCGAGUGGUGGCCGCUAUUAUUGGGCCUAAAGCGUCCGUAGCCGGGCCCGUAAGUCCCUGGCGAAAUCCCACGGCUCAACCGUGGGGCUUGCUGGGGAUACUGCGGGUCUUGGGACCGGGAGAGGCGGGGGGUACCCCUGGGGUAGGGGUGAAAUCCUAUAAUCCCAGGGGGACCGCCAGUGGCGAAGGCGCCCCGCUGGAACGGGUCCGACGGUGAGGGACGAAGGCCAGGGGAGCAAACCGGAUUAGAUACCCGGGUAGUCCUGGCUGUAAAGGAUGCGGGCUAGGUGUCGGGUGAGCCUCGAGCUUGCCCGGUGCCGUAGGGAAGCCGUUAAGCCCGCCGCCUGGGGAGUACGGCCGCAAGGCUGAAACUUAAAGGAAUUGGCGGGGGAG